Molecule: ribosomal RNA, 492 nt
Filed under: uncultured bacterium
Lineage: Bacteria
Description: partial 16S ribosomal RNA
Rfam family: Bacterial small subunit ribosomal RNA
Source: RNAcentral
AUUGAACGCUGGCGGCAUGCUUUACACAUGCAAGUCGAACGGUAACAGGCCUUCGGGUGCUGACGAGUGGCGAACGGGUGAGUAAUGCAUCGGAACGUACCCAGAGGUGGGGGAUAACGCAGCGAAAGCUGUGCUAAUACCGCAUGUGAUCUGAGGAUGAAAGCGGGGGACCGAGCAGCAAUGUUUGGCCUCGCGCCUUUGGAGCGGCCGAUGUCGGAUUAGCUAGUUGGUGGGGUAAAGGCCUACCAAGGCGACGAUCCGUAGCUGGUCUGAGAGGACGACCAGCCACACUGGGACUGGGACACGGCCCAGACUCCUACGGGAGGCAGCAGUGGGGAAUUUUGGACAAUGGGCGCAAGCCUGAUCCAGCAAUGCCGCGUGCGGGAAGAAGGCCUUCGGGUUGUAAACCGCUUUUGGCAGGAACGAAACGGUGUCCGCUAAUACCGGGCGCUAAUGACGGUACCUGCAGAAUAAGCACCGGCUAACUACGUG